CCUACGGGGGGCUGCAGUGAGGAAUAUUGGUCCAUGGACGCAAGUCUGAAUCAGCCAUGUCGCGUGCAGGAAGACGGCUCUAUGAGUUGUAAACUGCUUUUGUACGAGGGUAAACGCAGAUACGCGUAUCUGUCUGAAAGUAUCGUACGAAUAAGGAUCGGCUAACUCCGUGCCACCAGACGCGGUAAUCCGGAGGAUUCAAGCGUUAUCCGGAUUUAUUGGGUUUAAAGGGUGCGCAGACGGAAGAUCAAGUCCGCGGUAAAAUGGAGAGGCUCAACCUCUUCGCGCCGUUGAAACUGGUUAGCUUGAGGGAGUGAGAAGUAUGCGGAAUGCGUGGUGUAGCGGUGAAAUGCAUAGAGAUCACGCAGAACUCCGAUUGCGAAGGCAGCAUACCGGCGCUCAACUGACGCUCAUGCACGAAAGUGUGGGUAUCGAACAGGAUUAGAUACCCCGGUAGUC
RNAcentral lists this ribosomal RNA (459 nucleotides) under uncultured bacterium. RNAcentral's name for it is "partial 16S ribosomal RNA". It matches the Rfam family "Bacterial small subunit ribosomal RNA", at positions 338 to 795 of the family's 1533-position model. The record is from RNAcentral.